UAAGGCUUUCCAUAAAGACCUUUUUACUUUAUUUGCAUUAUUAUUUAGUGUUAAUACACGAAGAUUAUUAUUCCCAUUUUUAUUUAACAGAUGGCACAACGUAAGGCUCAGAGAGUUUAAGUCUUGUACCUGAAGUCAUACAGCCAGGAAAUACUUAGGUUCAGGUCUGUCUGAGCCUGAAGCCCUUGCUUAUGCUUCCUCUGCUCUAUACUCAGGGAUAAUAUCCCUCUCUCCACUUUAUUCCCAGGGAUCAGAUUCUGAAAGGUUCCUGAGGGAUUCAUGCCGGAGACUUGGGAGACUUGUCGUUCCUGAAAACCCCUACCCCCACCUUGAUUAAUCUUUUUUUUUUUUUUUCUGUAGAGAGUGGGCCUGGAACCAGGUGAAGCCCGAGUCUCCAUUCCAGGGGCUUUCUCUAAAAUCUGUCGCUGUUGUUGACUCCAGUAGAAUCUGUUUCAGGAAGAGGUUUGUCUGCCUGCGCGGGACAGCGGUGCCAUUCAUCACUGCAGGAGGACAGAAUCCGGGGCUGGGGGCCGCACGUCGAGAGGGGAGGGGCCAGGGGGCGGCCCCCUUGUGACCAGCCCUGAGGAGAGGUCAGGAGAGAAGGCUGGCUGAGGAGCGCCUGGACAGCAGCAGCUGCUGACGUUCUAUAUCACGCGCCUUGGGCCCAAGUCGCGGCUCCUUUCCAGACGCGUUUCUUCUCAAGCUCGGCAGUGAGCUGAUGGCCCAGUUUCGAGAAGCUUCCCUGUCCUCCAGCUCCGUGGCCCGUUGGACCUCUGGAGGUGGAGGAGGAGCCUCUCAGGAGCAGGGAGUCGAGAAGGCGGGGAAAAUGGAGGCGGAGGCCCUGGGGGCGGCGAUGGUUUACGCGGUCCAGGAAGCAGAGGAGAUGAAGCUGGAGCCCUGGCAGGAACGCAAGCCUGCACCCGAGGGGAACUUGACGUGGAGCGACAUUGGCGGCGACGAGAAGGUCUCUGAGCCUCAGCCUGCAAGGCUCCUUCCUUGACUAUUCAAGACCCAACUCACAGAUGACGUCUCUGGAACCUUCCCUGGAUACUCUAGGCAGGCAUAAAUUGGAUAACUGUCACCCAUCCCUUACCCCUCUCACUGUGCCUCCAAAGUACUUUGUCCAUACCUCGGUGAUAGUACUUAUUCUACUGUGAUUCUACUGUAGCUUUGUGAUUGUCUGCCCCUCUGCACCAGGUAUCCAUCCUGACAACAGAGGGCCAAGCCUUAUUCAUUUUCGUGUUAAUAAAUGUUUGUUGAAUGUGGGAGAGAGUUCUAUUAUUUGCUCUAUUC
This 1293-nucleotide long non-coding RNA is filed under the name Ictidomys tridecemlineatus (thirteen-lined ground squirrel). RNAcentral's name for it is "lncRNA (ENSSTOG00000029430.1)". The record is from RNAcentral. Lineage: Eukaryota; Metazoa; Chordata; Mammalia; Rodentia; Sciuridae.